Molecule: long non-coding RNA, 286 nt
Filed under: Elaeis guineensis (African oil palm)
Lineage: Eukaryota; Viridiplantae; Streptophyta; Magnoliopsida; Arecales; Arecaceae
Description: long non-coding RNA (EGUI_LNC007341)
Source: RNAcentral
AGUAAUUCAAUACUAAUGAUGAUGAUGUGGUGUAUGCAUAUGCUGAUGAAAGAAGGUGGUUCGCAGUACUCCUACACAUGUUGCACACCUUGAAGAAAUAGUUCAAGGAUUCACAAUGCAAGAAAAUGUUCAAAACCACUUAUGAAGUGAGAGGAUUCGUGUGUGACCUAGUGAUUGACAGUGGGUGUGAAGAAAAUAUUGUGGCUAAGAUUGUGGUGGACAAGCUUAAGUUGUAGAAUGCAAAUCAUCCAGAACCUUAUCUAGCUGGUUAGAUCUUGAAGGGGCA